AUUUGACAUGGUGCAGUAUUUUAUGUAUUAAACCAGGCAGCAGAUAUGUCUAUUCAUUGCAUUCUUUAUAAAUUCGUCAAGUCUUAAAUGCAGAUGAUGGGCUAAUUUUUCAAAGAGGGAGUCUAACAUGAUACAUGUUUAGUCUUAUAUCAAUAAAACUCUACGUUGUUAUAUGACAGGGAAGGCUAAAUAAUAGCAAAUGUUUGAGACUAUUACAGAAUAAUAAGUAUGAAAUUAUGAGCAAAUUCUCUCUUACGGUAGCUUGGAUGCAACAAAGGUUCAGCUAGCCCUGCAUUCUGGAAGUGGGUGGCAGACAAAUUACGCUAGUUCCAUCAGCAAUUGUAGAAUCUCCUUUAAGCCCCCCUUAGAAAACUGGUUGAAAAUAUGCAUUUUCAGAUAGUUUGCUCCUUAAAUAUUCAUUUUGUUUCUGAGAUUCAGUAUAAAAAUUAUGCAGUUGAGAGAAUGAUAGAAUUUCAAGUUUGAAAAGUUCCUUAAAGCUAACUGGUCAAGUGGUGUUUAGCCUGCUGUUUAUCUUCUACCAAACACUUUGUCAAAAAAAAAUGAGCUCUACCAUCAUUGAAAAAGAAAGCUACGUUUUCCAAGAAUGACAUUGAUAAGUUAUUUGAUUGAUAAGAAUUCUGCUAUAUUUAUCACUUACAGUAGGUUUCAAAACAAUGAAAAAGUUGUGAUGGUAGUUUUGGAGUAAGUCUUAUGUGUAUUAUUACUUCCUGUGUUGAGUUCCAUGGUUAUACAAUAUAUGAAAAGUAGAUUAAAACCAGGAUAGGCUGUUUGGAAAUUUAAGAGAAUGAUGGAAAACAAACAACAAACAAACAAACAAACAUUUUUCCAGGGGCCUCGAGUAGUCAAGACGUUAGUAGUUCGUGUCAUCUUUGUGUUUUAGUAAAAGCCUGACUCACUGAAAGAAAGCAAGCUGCAUGAGAAAUUACAGACAAGAUGGACCAAUCGCACAGUUUCAUUUUAAGCACUACAAAAAUAAAUAGCAGCAUUAUUAUUAAAGGACUGUAGGCAAUUCAAAAGGGAUGUUCAAAUAAAAUAAUAAUAUGUUAGCAAAGAAAUACAUGAAAGGUGGAAGCCAAACAUACUAUAUUUUGAAAGGAAAUUGCAUAUAGCAAGUAUGAUAUCUACUUCUACUUCAGAGCAGGUAUGAGGCUAUCAUAGACCAAAAGCUGAAUUAAGAAAGUAAAUUUUACUUUUAGUUGUUUGCUUAAAACUUGAGUUUCACUCUAGUUGCCACAA
This 1257-nucleotide long non-coding RNA is filed under the name Canis lupus familiaris (dog). RNAcentral's name for it is "lncRNA (ENSCAFG00000053400.1)". Lineage: Eukaryota; Metazoa; Chordata; Mammalia; Carnivora; Canidae. The record is from RNAcentral.